RNAcentral lists this ribosomal RNA (387 nucleotides) under uncultured bacterium. RNAcentral describes it as "bacterial SSU rRNA". It matches the Rfam family "Bacterial small subunit ribosomal RNA", at positions 28 to 417 of the family's 1533-position model. The record is from RNAcentral.
GACGAACGCUGGCGGCGUGCUUAACACAUGCAAGUCGAGCGGUAAGGCCCUUUCGGGGGUACACGAGCGGCGAACGGGCGAGUAACACGUGGGUGACCUGCCCUCAGCUCUGGGAUAAGCCUGGGAAACCGGGUCUAAUACUGGAUAUGACUCCAUGACGCAUGUUGUGGGGUGGAAAGCCUUGUGCGGCUGAGGAUGGGCCCGCGGCCUAUCAGCUUGUUGGUGGGGGAUGGCCUACCAAGGCGACGACGGGUAGCCGGCCUGAGAGGGCGACCGGCCACACUGGGACUGAGACACGGCCCAGACUCCUACGGGAGGCAGUAGUGGGGAAUCUUGCGCAAUGGGCGAAAGCCUGACGCAGCGACGCCGCGUGAGGGAUGACGGCCU